GACGAACGCUGGCGGCGUGCUUAACACAUGCAAGUCGAACGGAAAGGCCCUGCUUUUGUGGGGUGCUCGAGUGGCGAACGGGUGAGUAACACGUGAGUAACCUGCCCUUGACUUUGGGAUAACUUCUGGAAACUGGGGCUAAUACCGGAUAGGAGCUCCUGCUGCAUGGUGGGGGUUGGAACGUUUCGGCGGUUGGGGAUGGACUCGCGGCUUAUCAGCUUGUUGGUGGGGUAGUGGCUUACCAAGGCUUUGACGGGUAGCCGGCCUGAGAGGGUGACCGGCCACAUUGGGACUGAGAUACGGCCCAGACUCCUACGGGAGGCAGCAGUGGGGAAUAGUGCACAAUGGGCGGAAGCCUGAUGCAGCAACGCCGCGUGCGGGAUUACGGCCUUCGGGGUGUAAACCGCUUUCGCCUGUGACGAAGCGUGAGUGACGGUAAUGUGUAAAGAAGCACCGGCUAACUACGUG
Molecule: ribosomal RNA, 468 nt
Filed under: uncultured bacterium
Lineage: Bacteria
Description: partial 16S ribosomal RNA
Rfam family: Bacterial small subunit ribosomal RNA
Source: RNAcentral